GCUGGAUGUAGAUGAUCCUGAAGAAGGAGUCACGUAACCUGAAGCAGGGCUGAUGUUCUGAGCAGCAAUGAAUUGCUUAGGCCGAGCGUAGUUAAAGGAGCUGGAAGACUGCAUGCUUGGGGAAGUGUGAGAGUUGAGAAUACUCAUUGGCACAGGAGAAACAAUAGACUGGCUGGACUCGAGUUCUUGGAAGGAGGGGGGAGGAGGAAAGGAAGGAGAUGAGGGAGUGUGCUGACGAUGUUCAGAUUGCUGCUGGUGACGACACCACUGGCCACUUUCUUGCUCCAGACGAAUUUGGUUCUGCAGCUGCUGUAUUUUUAUAGGGUCCCUGCGCGACUCCGGCCGGCAACUCGCUCAUCGCCCGGCGCGGCUCCGAGGGCCGGGGCGCAGCGCGAGCGCGCCGCAGGUAACGGCGCUAUAUAGGGCGGGCGGGCAGCGCGCCGCGACCGCUGAGCCUCUGCCGAGCUUCC
This 470-nucleotide long non-coding RNA is filed under the name Gallus gallus (chicken). Lineage: Eukaryota; Metazoa; Chordata; Aves; Galliformes; Phasianidae. The record is from RNAcentral.